CUGGUUUAUGUUUCACGUAUGUUCUACCUAUGACUAUAUGAUUUUGGGCUGACUUGUAUACAUGAUUUAUUUUUCGUUGAGCUUAUUGCGUUCUUUCGACGUACUUUCCCGAACGUGAAGAUUUUGAGCCACGCAGAGAGGUCUUUGAGAACUGGGUCGAGUAUCUGGAUAUUUCGAAUCGUCAACUAAUGAACCUGCACGCUUUUGGGAACGGAAAUCGAGCCGGAAGUAAGCACUUGCGAUUGCUCGUUAACCGGUUUUGUAAUGCUGAAUUAAAUGGUGCUACCUCUCACUAUAAAACUAUCAUGGGCUUUUACCAUGAAGACCUUGCCCUGGACAACGCCCAGUUCACCCCACGUUUGGAGUAUUUGCCAUCGGCUAAAAAAAACGACUAGCGGGUGGUCCGUUUGGCCAUUGAAUUCUAAAGGUUCAUGGACGUUGCUCUGAAAGAAUGGACCAAUUGGGAAAUUAAAAGUACCCAGAAUGUAGCAAUCAUCUUUCUAUGAAACCACUGCAGUGCAGUAGAUGAGUACCACCCACAUUAUAUGCAAUUUCAAAUUCUAAGGAAUUCUAGUACAAUGGUAAACUGUUAUCCAAGUUAGUUAUGUUUCUGGAAUGUGAAAUUUUCUUAAAUUAUGGAAGAAAUAAGUUCAUAUAGGGAUCCAGGUGUACAGCGAAGUAAUUAGGAGUAUGUUACAAUAUGUCUAAAUGACUGUCGAAGGAUGUGCUUAAUGUCUUCGCAAGACACAAAUGGCAUCAGACAAUAAUCUCAAUGAUGUGCCAAGAAAUUCUCAUACAUCAUUGUUUACACUAAUCUCUGCCAUCCUACAAAAGGAAAUGUUUCACUUGAUUUCUGAGCUUUCGUGUCUUGAACACUUUUACUGUUUCCUUUCAUUUGUCAUUGCUUGCAGAAACUAAUUAUUUAUUUCCUACUGAUGAGUUAUCAGUGGAUACAUGAACAAGUGAAGUAAUUAUACUGAGUUAAAUUGUGAGUCGAUAAUUAAGUUACCAACUGAAUGGUCAAGACUGUAACCUCAUUCUAAUGAUAUAUUAUUAUAUAUAAUUACAUUGUCCUUAAUAUCUUGGUACAAUGUUCUAGGUCCCCUUAAGGAUAGUGAACGUGCCACGCGCCUAUUUUAUUUUACCUUAAGCACCUUUUUUUUUAUAUAUUCACGCUCAUUCUACAAUUAGGCCUAACGACAAUAGUCGAAUUAAGCAACAGUACGACAGUGCGGAACUUGCUGAUGUCGAGGUCAUAAAUUGAUAUUUGAAGCUCAUACAAAUAUCUCAUAGGUGCGUAACAGUUGAAUCAUUGUACGUGUAUUAAUGGCAAUAGUUAACCGUGUGAUAUUUUGCGUAUGACGUUUAACGUUAUCGCAGAUCAACUUUGCCUUACAAAAAUUGCUCAGUAUUAGUCACAGUGAUGAUAGGAUGAUUGGAAUCGAUAAAAAAAGAUAUUAGUAAGCGAAUUUCGUACACGCAACUGACGAUAUGUCAAUGUGCUCUUUAGCAUUGUCUAGUGGAAUUUUUGAGUCGUGGGCGUCGAUUAGUGCACGUAUUGAAUUGGCACGGUCGUAAGGUCAAUCCUGUUACUUCCUAAAGGCAAAUUCUCAUUCGAUUCUUUGCUGUCCCUUGAUUACAUAGCAAAUAAAAUGACAGGGGCCUUGAUUUCGCGUGAGAAAGUCAAUUCGAGUGCUUUGUCCAUAUACUGAUGAUAUUUCUAGACAUUUUUUUGUAAUUAUUUUUUUUGAAACUUACAUCACAGUGCAACUCUGUAACAGCAUCCUGUUCUAUACGGCAAUACUAAGGAAGUCAUAAUAAAUUUUAGCACUUCGACUAAUGCGCGAUAUCGCCUUGUCGACACUUUCGACCAUGGAAACGAGUCACAGGCACGUCUAGUAUUUUUAUUGAACAGAAGAAAGUUCCACACAAAAAACCAAGAACAAGAACUGGCAGCUGCUCACACUCCCACGACUUCGCUAUUGGCGUUAGAGCACAGUUAGCAAACGAGAGCACCAUGAAGUUUUUUCGUUCGCUAAGUCGGUUCUUCCUUUGAUUCACGUAGUGGAAUAGAUAGGUGUACUCGAAUAAUUUGCGUUUGGCAAUUAAAAUUCUUAAUUGUACUAUUUCCCUCGUUAGGGAGACCUAAUAACGAAAAGGUAGUAGAAAGCGAAUUUACGGGUUAGAAAAAUUGCAUCUGCUCUUUGGCAGCCUUGGAUCAAAUCAAGCAAUAGCCAAGAUCGUCAUUGUGAUUCCAUUACGAAAUUCAACCACGAAGACAGCCAUUUCGUCGGUGACAGUACACUGGCAAUACCACAAGCAAUACCUGGUUAACCGAUGACAGUCAUCCAAGUACCAAUUCCUAUUACGAAAUUGACCUCAAUUCCCAAUUUCUGUACUUCAACCAUCGAACUCGUCAAUCAGUCUUUUUCCUGUAGUUGAUAUCGUCACUGUGAUCGCUGAUAGGAACUAAUUUAAUUAUUACGCUUUGUUUCCAGACCGGAAGUUGCGUGUCUACCUUGAAUGUGAAAAAUUCCCGACUCUCCUAUGAUUGCCCAUAGUAAAUAUUUCUACUAAAAUUCUUUCACCUAACACCAGCCGUGAUGGCUUGUUAGAGCAGAAAAAAUUUGUUACAGUCAUUACUUGUAAAUAUCUCACAUGUCGUACAAAUACCGUUAUAUCAUUUGAAUUUUACGAUUCCAACGUUUUACGGAAACGCGUUCCACUUUCACGACGUUCGUUCGACGUGCGUCGCCGAGCGUCGGGACGCUCGCGUGUUUACCUGGCAACGUGAGAAUUUCGCAAAGUCCUAUUGAAACUUUGCAAAUCGCUUAACCAGAAAACAGAUCCUUCUUGGAAUAACCUAACAUAACCAUAGUCGUAAACAACCAUAAGAGGCAUUUAUAUAUAAACGAAUUUCACGAGCGUGUAAAUCGUAUCUUCUUCCUUGGACUGAUCUUACACGUGGAUAACAUUAUAUUCCUAUGUAAAGAGACUUUAUCUUCACUUCAAUCAACGAUCUUGACUAUCGCUACGUUGAGCUUCGUUCAGAGUCAAAUAGAGACGUUUUAGCUACUAUAAUCAUCUAACGAUAGAGCAAUGAACGACUAUUUGCAUUUGCUACUCGAACGAGCUGUGUAAACCUGGCGAAACGUACAAUUUUCCGUAAAUUGCACAAGAGUCGCUGGAUUAAGAGAAAAUAAAAUUUAUCACGAUGAAUUUGCGGCAUUACACGGUAUACGUACAGUUAGUUUCGGUAUAAAUAAUGAAAGAUAUGUAUUAGUGAAAAAAAGGUUCUAAUUCAUUUUCAAUUUCAAAUUUAAGUUAAUUAAAUUACUUAUUGCCCGAAAAAAUUUUACGUCCCACCAGCAAACGGUUGUAGCGACUCAAUAAUUUCUGAAAGUUGUUUCCGACAUAUUGUUAGUUUAACCACAGGGUGUCUCUUGGCAUAUAAAAAGAUCGCUCGUGCGCUCGUACGAGUAAUAGCGAAUAAGUAUAGUCGAUACGAAUAGUUAGCAGCUAUCUACUAUGUUAUACCUGUAUAUCUAUAUGUCCUGUAAGAUAGGUCGGAUUCUGCUCGUUCAAAUGGAGGCUCGUUUCUCCUAUCUGUUAAUCAGAGUCUUAUGGUAACAUGUACUGUAUAUGCGUAUAUAGCAACGCACUGUUCUCGUACUGGAGAUUUGUAUAUCAUAGGUAUAGAUAUAACGCACGCUAAUCCACAAGCCUGUUGGAUCGAACGGAACGGAACCACUUUUACACCGCAUUCUUGGCAUUGAGGUGUCUUUCGAACCACGCCUUCUCUUGCUCUCCGCUGUUCCGUGGGUGUGGUAUUACUGCGAGUUUGUAUGACGUGUGCCUUGUAUAUUUUACGAGCGAUAAAACCUAAUAACAAAAGAAUAUUAGGACAUAAGAAGUAGAGCCUUAUGCGUCUAUGAAAAUCGAGAGAAUGUUGCUGGAGAGUGGAUGCUGUUGAAAUAUGUAAUUUCUUGUGUGAAGAAGAAGAAAAAAAAAAGGAAAAAGAAAAAUUGUUAAUUUUCAUUUGCUUGCUGCGAAAUAGCAGGAAAUUUUUUUAUUAUGCAAAGAAUGUAUUGUCGCACUGUGCAUUGUCACGUGGUAUAAUAAAUUUUAUCGGGAGAUAAAUUAUAAGAGAAAAAUAUUCUUUAAGAUUUUAUAUAUAUAUGGAAUUUCCAUUGAAAUAAUUAUUAAACGAACACUUUUAGUUAUUAAUUAGUCAUUUAUUCGUGGUAUUAUCAUUUUGAUUGAUAAUGAAUUAAUUAAGCUAAGGUCAAACUGUUUUUAAGUGUAUGCGGAAUGCGAACUUGAACUAUUGAAGGAUCGAUGUGCGAGUACGAGAUAAUUUAGGGAUAUUUUUUAAUUCGUUAAUUAAGCCUUGUUGGAUAUCAAGGUAAAUCAAUUAAGAAAUCGUUAAUUAUUCUAGUGGCAAUGAUUCUAAUAAGUGUUAGAUACCGAUCGACAGCCAUCAAUAUUGUCAAUGUAUUCAAUAGGUUUAAGCGGCGGCGAUUCCUGCCUUCAACUUAUAUGAUUAUUAAAAAUUUUUGUGAUAUCCAUAAUUCGAUAUGUAUCGAUAUAUCGAUCUGCGAUAUCGCGAAUCGCGAGCGAGGUCGUUUUCUACCGAAAUUUUUGAACGGUCAGAUAUUGAAAGGCGACCGGACAACGUCUCUUACGUUCACUUUGAAAUUGGUUUUGUAUACUUUCCAUUUUAAGGUAAUGGAUAAGCGCUAUUGGCUAUUAUUCGUUACUCCUAAUGGACUCUUUGGUAAUUGAUUAUUCUGUACUAAUGGAUAGGUAAAGCUCGUUCGUGUUUGUCGAUUUGCUUGUUUUUAUUCUUGUAUCUUGUCAGCCUCCUAGUUACUGGUUUUACGUACAGUUUGUAAAUUGGAUAAUACGCUUUCGUAUUGGCUCUUAGAUCUUUUAUAUGAAUUCUUAACGUGGGUUAUACUUGAAUUUAGGGAUUUCGCAUUUUCUUAUUAUUUCAUUGUUGAGUGUAUUGGAGUAAAUUUAUAUAGUUGAUAUUAUAAUUAACAAUUUUUACCUUGUUUUGGAUAUUAAAUAUGGGAAACGUAUAAUGAAAAUUUAUUUAACUUUUUUUGGAUAAAUAUUACAAUUAAUAAUAACCUUA
Molecule: RNA transcript, 5140 nt
Organism: Cephus cinctus (wheat stem sawfly)
Lineage: Eukaryota; Metazoa; Arthropoda; Insecta; Hymenoptera; Cephidae
Exons: 5
Source: RefSeq, a predicted model, not a curated record